Molecule: non-coding RNA, 63 nt
Organism: Streptococcus iniae
Lineage: Bacteria; Bacillati; Bacillota; Bacilli; Lactobacillales; Streptococcaceae
Source: Rfam
AUGGGAAUAAAUCUCUUUCUAGUGAAGUGUCGUAACUCUACUAUACAGGAUUUAUUCCUUUUU